RNAcentral lists this unclassified non-coding RNA (345 nucleotides) under soil metagenome. RNAcentral's name for it is "partial contains 5.8S ribosomal RNA, internal transcribed spacer 2, and large subunit ribosomal RNA". The stretch from base 1 to 119 matches the Rfam family "5.8S ribosomal RNA", at positions 35 to 154 of the family's 154-position model. The record is from RNAcentral.
GAUGAAGAACGCAGCGAAAUGCGAUAAGUAAUGCGAAUUGCAGAAUCCGUGAGUCAUCGAGUCUUUGAACGCACAUUGCGCCCCCUGGUAUUCCGGGGGGCAUGCCUGUCCGAGCGUCAUUGCUGCCCUCAAGCCCGGCUUGUGUGUUGGGUCUCGUCCCCCUUCCCGGGGGGACGGGCCCGAAAGGCAGCGGCGGCACCGUGUCCGGUCCUCGAGCGUAUGGGGCUUUGUCACCCGCUCUGUAGGCCCGGCCGGCGCUUGCCGAUCAACCAAAACUUUUUUCCAGGUUGACCUCGGAUCAGGUAGGGAUACCCGCUGAACUUAAGCAUAUCAAUAAGCGGAAGA